UUCUGUUUUCUAUUACAUCUCUCUUCUACUAAAUUCUCUACACAAUCCAUGCCUCCCGCUGUCUAUUUAGACCUAAAUUAACCUGUCAAAUGUAGUAUACAUUCUCCCCUCUCCUAGACGAGUGGACGUCAAACCACAAUUCUCAUGAAAAGCCUCAUCAUCAUUAGCAAGAAAGAAAAAAAAAAGAAUAAAAUCUAGAAACUGCUAAUCCCGUCAAACUUGGGACACGUGGAGAUGAAGAUGAAUACGCUAAUGGAGAAGGGAAUGGUGUUUAAGACACAAAUGCUCCCAAAGAUGGUUUUGAAAUGACCUUUAUUAAGCAGUUUUUUCUCUCUUUUUAUUAGGUGGUGGCCUUGUGGUGAUCCACUGAAAAAGUCUUAAAUUGAUCAAAUACAAAGAGAAAUGAAGCGAUGUAGAUCUACUUCUGAGUCAUGCAGUUAUCUUCCUCCCCCGCUUGAUGGUCGUCUUCCUUCACUUGUGGUCCAAUGAAAAAAUAUUGUAGGCUUUUCACAGUGCACUGGUGCAAAGCAGCAAGAAAUCUCUACAUUCGAAUUCAACACAAAUUUUAUCUUACCUUUUACUCUUCCAAAAAAGUCAGAAAUUUGAAAGUGAUUCCAAUCAUAGUUCUACCAAACGAAAAGUUCAGAAUUUGCUCAUUAGAAGAUUUUGUUCAUAAUUGUACAAUAAAAGAAUGAAGGGAUAAAGGUCUCUACAAUCUUAGAA
This is a long non-coding RNA of Glycine soja, 723 nucleotides long. RefSeq lists it as uncharacterized. The record is from RefSeq and is a predicted model, not a curated record. Lineage: Eukaryota; Viridiplantae; Streptophyta; Magnoliopsida; Fabales; Fabaceae. The transcript is spliced from 3 exons.